Molecule: ribosomal RNA, 563 nt
Filed under: uncultured organism
Description: bacterial SSU rRNA
Rfam family: Bacterial small subunit ribosomal RNA
Source: RNAcentral
AGGCAGCAGUGAGGAAUAUUGGUCAAUGGACGAGAGUCUGAACCAGCCAAGUAGCGUGCAGGAUGACGGCCCUAUGGGUUGUAAACUGCUUUUAUAAGGGAAUAAAGUGAGUCUCGUGAGACUUUUUGCAUGUACCUUAUGAAUAAGGACCGGCUAAUUCCGUGCCAGCAGCCGCGGUAAUACGGAAGGUCCGGGCGUUAUCCGGAUUUAUUGGGUUUAAAGGGAGCGUAGGCCGGAGAUUAAGCGUGUUGUGAAAUGUAGACGCUCAACGUCUGCACUGCAGCGCGAACUGGUUUCCUUGAGUACGCACAAAGUGGGCGGAAUUCGUGGUGUAGCGGUGAAAUGCUUAGAUAUCACGAAGAACUCCGAUUGCGAAGGCAGCUCACUGGAGCGCAACUGACGCUGAAGCUCGAAAGUGCGGGUAUCGAACAGGAUUAGAUACCCUGGUAGUCCGCACGGUAAACGAUGGAUGCCCGCUGUUGGUCUGAAUAGGUCAGCGGCCAAGCGAAAGCAUUAAGCAUCCCACCUGGGGAGUACGCCGGCAACGGUGCAACUCAAAUGAA